This 75-nucleotide transfer RNA is filed under the name Candidatus Woesearchaeota archaeon. RNAcentral describes it as "tRNA-Pro". It matches the Rfam family "tRNA". Rfam says of the family: Transfer RNA (tRNA) molecules are approximately 80 nucleotides in length. The record is from RNAcentral. Lineage: Archaea; Nanobdellati; Candidatus Woesearchaeota.
GGGGGUGUCGGCUAGCUUGGUUUAGGCUUCGAGGUUUGGGACCUUGAGACCCAGGUUCAAAUCCUGGUACCCUCA